RNAcentral lists this long non-coding RNA (377 nucleotides) under Chinchilla lanigera (long-tailed chinchilla). Its description in RNAcentral is "lncRNA (ENSCLAG00000024125.1)". The record is from RNAcentral. Lineage: Eukaryota; Metazoa; Chordata; Mammalia; Rodentia; Chinchillidae.
CAGCAGCAGGCAGGGGGCGCCUCCAUUGCAUGGCUGCUGCAGGACACGCCUCCGGCGGACACCGUGAGAGACCUGGCAGGGCCUGAUGCAGCGACUCCAGCCACUCCACCCUGCCACCAUGCAGGAGACCGCUGGAAGACAAGGGGUGUCCACAGAGGGACCAGAGAGCCUGGCAGGAACACUGCAGAGCAGACUCACACACUGACCAGGCAGCUGGACCAGAGGACAUUACGGAUGACGCCUGCUCUGCCCACUGGGCAGGUGAGACAAUUUGCAGAAAAAUAGGUGAUAUCACCCUACACUCAACAGUACCGUGUCAUGAAGCAGCGUGGACACGUGAGGGGGACUGCCCCACGUGUGAUUAUCCGUACCACACC